GACGAACGCUGGCGGCGUGCUUAACACAUGCAAGUCGAGCGGUAAGGCCCCUUCGGGGGUACACGAGCGGCGAACGGGUGAGUAACACGUGGGUGACCUGCCCUCAGCUCUGGGAUAAGCCUGGGAAACUGGGUCUAAUACCGGAUAUGACUCCAUGACGCAUGUCGUGGGGUGGAAAGCCUUGUGCGGCUGAGGAUGGGCCCGCGGCCUAUCAGCUUGUUGGUGGGGNGAUGGCCUACCAAGGCGACGACGGGUAGCCGGCCUGAGAGGGCGACCGGCCACACUGGGACUGAGACACGGCCCAGACUCCUACGGGAGGCAGCAGUGGGGAAUCUUGCGCAAUGGGCGAAAGCCUGACGCAGCGACGCCGCGUGAGGGAUGACGGCCU
RNAcentral lists this ribosomal RNA (388 nucleotides) under uncultured bacterium. Its description in RNAcentral is "bacterial SSU rRNA". It matches the Rfam family "Bacterial small subunit ribosomal RNA", at positions 28 to 417 of the family's 1533-position model. The record is from RNAcentral.